UCUUUUUGUGUUUCUCUGCUAGCAAACGACUGAUUCUUCUCAAAAAUAGAAAAAUUAUGUAUAUGUUCCCCCAACAAAUUUGAUCUUAUAUUUGGUAGGAAUUAGGGUUUAAUUUUUCAUCAGUCUUCUGUUAGUGAUGAAAAUUGGCAUUUCUUUGAUGAGUUUUGCGAUAUUAUCAGUUGUGCUCAUGGAGAUAUUCGCCUCAGAGUUAGAUUUUUCUAUUACGGUUCAGAUUUAGAUUUGAUUACAAAUGAUAAAUGGUUCUUCAUCAAAUCGCAACAAUUUUGUUCUUCUCCGAUCUGAUUUUGCUGAUCUACAACAUUGAGGGUGGCACUGGCAAUGAUCAUACAAUAAGGUUCUCGUGGAGAAAUAGACCAGGAGAAUCUCUUCGUGAUAAAUUUAGUUCAGGAGCAAUAAAGUAUGCACAUAAAUGAACUGAGAUAAACACAUCUAUCCAUUGUUUGUUUCAAGUCUCCACUAACUGCAUGUGCCUUCUCUUUAGUCCAACUACGACAGUUGGCAGUUCCCAUAUGUAGAUAGUAACUUGGUGUAAGUUUUGAAUUUGUUGAUAAAAUUUGCAUAUAUAGACUCUGACAGUCAUAGCUAGAGUAUGCAAAUUCUUAGAGAAAGCCACUGAGUUAUUCGUACGCGAAAGUUGAGUCAUUCUCCAACGGCUUGUCCCCACCAUGUAUGAAACUGCUUAACUCCAUUUUAAGGAAGAGUUGCGCAUUUUUCAACCUAGAUGCAAGACAUUUUUAAGGUUGUGUUAAUGAAAUGUUCAUCUUUGUCCCUUUAGGUUGCCCAUUUGUCUUCCUCUUCUCCAUGCCAUGUAAUUCCACUAAUUUGCUUCUUUGGAUCUUUUUCCUUAUUUUUUUUUUUGGGUCCUACUUGUUUUAUCUUCUCUUGUCCCUUUUGAGUAUAUACCUUGUAAUAAAUAUAUGAAAAUUUUUGCUUGUCUUUACUACUUCUCUAUGUCUUUGUGAGCAUUAGUUGAUUUGUUGCGAGAAUUUUCAGGAUUUGGUGAGCACAGUCUUGCACUGCCGGUCCGGUGACCAGUAAUUUCCCUGUACCCGGUUUCCCAUCAACUUCAGGACCUUUCACUACUGGUUUGCUAUAAAAAAAACAAACUUCUAGCUAGAUCUGUUGUAAAUAGUCAUUUAGAUAGCAAAAGAACUUCUAUUGAUUCAAAUAUGUGCACAAAAAAUGAUAGUUUUUAUACACGUAAAGUAGAUUUUUUAUAGAUGUGUAUAUAGUUGUCCACCAAUGUGCUAUCUCAAUAAUAUAUGUAUGUUUUGUGGGUAUAAAUGAUGGAUUUUUGUAAGUGUGUACAUAGUUGUACACCAUUAUGUUCUCUCAUGAUUUAUGGCCAUUUUUGUGGGUAUGUAUGUUGGAUUUGUUGGAUUUUUGUUGGCGUGUACACCAUUGUACACCAUUAUACAAUCUCAAUAAUAUAUAUAUGACAUGUUUUGCUUGUAUGGA
Molecule: long non-coding RNA, 1479 nt
Organism: Papaver somniferum (opium poppy)
Lineage: Eukaryota; Viridiplantae; Streptophyta; Magnoliopsida; Ranunculales; Papaveraceae
Exons: 2
Source: RefSeq, a predicted model, not a curated record